This 792-nucleotide ribosomal RNA is filed under the name uncultured archaeon. Its description in RNAcentral is "bacterial SSU rRNA". It matches the Rfam family "Archaeal small subunit ribosomal RNA", at positions 85 to 879 of the family's 1478-position model. The record is from RNAcentral.
ACGGCUCAGUAACACGUGGACAACCUACCCUCAGAUCUGGGAUAACUCCGGGAAACUGGAGAUAAUACCGGAUAAUCCGUGAACGCUGGAAUGCCUUGCGGUUGAAAGCUUUAGCGUCUGAGGAUGGGUCUGCGGCCGAUUAGGUAGUUGCUGGGGUAACGUCCCAACAAGCCGAUGAUCGGUACGGGUUGUGAGAGCAAGAGCCCGGAGAUGGAUUCUGAGACACGAAUCCAGGUCCUACGGGGCGCAGCAGGCGCGAAAACUUUACACUGCGCGAAAGCGCGAUAAGGGGACCUCGAGUGCGUACGCAAUGCGUGCGCUUUUCAAAUGCCUAAAAAGCAUCUGGAAUAAGGGCCGGGCAAGACCGGUGCCAGCCGCCGCGGUAACACCGGCGGCUCAAGUGGUGGCCGCUAUUAUUGGGCUUAAAGGGUCCGUAGCCGGACCAGUUAGUCCCUUGGGAAAUCUUACGGCUUAACCGUAAGGCUGCCAAUGGAUACUGCUGGUCUUGGGACCGGGAGAGGCAAGAGGUACCUCAGGGGUAGGAGUGAAAUCCUGUAAUCCUUGAGGGACCGCCAGUGGCGAAGGCGUCUUGCUAGAACGGGUCCGACGGUGAGGGACGAAAGCUAGGGGCACGAACCGGAUUAGAUACCCGGGUAGUCCUAGCCGUAAACGAUGCGAGCUAGGUGUCACGUGGAUUGCGAAUCCAUGUGGUGCCGUAGGGAAACCGUGAAGCUCGCCGCCUGGGAAGUACGGCCGCAAGGCUGAAACUUAAAGGAAUUGGCGGGGGAGCAC